RNAcentral lists this ribosomal RNA (456 nucleotides) under uncultured bacterium. RNAcentral's name for it is "bacterial SSU rRNA". It matches the Rfam family "Bacterial small subunit ribosomal RNA", at positions 340 to 787 of the family's 1533-position model. The record is from RNAcentral.
UACGGAAGGCAGCAGGGGGAAUAUUGCACAAUGGGCGAAAGCCUGAUGCAGCUAUGCCGCGUGUAUGAAGAAGGCCUUAGGGUUGUAAAGUACUUUCAUCGGGGAGGAAAAACAAAACUAAUAAUUUUAUUUCUUGACGUUACCCGAAAAAGAAGCACCGGCUAACUCCGUGCCAGCAGCCGCGGUAAUACGGAGGGUGCUAGCGUUAAUCAGAAUUACUGGGCGUAAAGAGCACGUAGGUGGUUUUUUUAAGUCAGAUGUGAAAUCCCUGGGCUUAACCUAGGAACUGCAUUUUGAAACUGAAAUACUAGAGUAUCGUAGAGGGAGGUAGAAUUCUAGGUGUAGCGGUGAAAUGCGUAGAUAUCUGGAGGAAUACCUGUGGCGAAAGCGGCCUCCUAAACGAAUACUGACACUGAGGGUGCGAAAGCGUGGGGAGCAAACAGGGAUUAGACUACC